GAAAUGCGAUAAGUAAUGUGAAUUGCAGAAUUCAGUGAAUCAUCGAAUCUUUGAACGCACAUUGCGCCCGCCAGUAUUAUGGCGGGCAUGCCUGUUCGAGCGUCAUUACAACCCUCAGGCCCCCGGGCCUGGCGUUGGGGAUCGGCGGAAGCCCCCUGCGGGCACAACGCCGUCCCCCAAAUACAGUGGCGGUCCCGCCGCAGCUUCCAUUGCGUAGUAGCUAACACCUCGCAACUGGAGAGCGGCGCGGCCACGCCGUAAAACACCCAACUUCUGAAUGUUGACCUCGAAUCAGGUAGGAAUACCCGCUGAACUUAAGC
Molecule: unclassified non-coding RNA, 320 nt
Filed under: plant metagenome
Description: partial contains 5.8S ribosomal RNA, internal transcribed spacer 2, and large subunit ribosomal RNA
Rfam family: 5.8S ribosomal RNA (bases 1-105)
Source: RNAcentral